Molecule: small nuclear RNA, 105 nt
Organism: Tupaia belangeri (northern tree shrew)
Lineage: Eukaryota; Metazoa; Chordata; Mammalia; Scandentia; Tupaiidae
Source: Ensembl
GUGCUCACUUCAACAGCACAUAUACUAGAAUUGCAGCAAUGCAGAGGAGAUGAGCAUGGCCCCUAUGGAAGGAUGACACGCAAAUUCAUAGUGUUCCGUAUUUUC